Molecule: long non-coding RNA, 1343 nt
Organism: Monodelphis domestica (gray short-tailed opossum)
Lineage: Eukaryota; Metazoa; Chordata; Mammalia; Didelphimorphia; Didelphidae
Source: Ensembl
AUACGGGUUUAAAAAAAGAAAUAACUUGACUGGCAUCAAUGAAUAGAAUUAACAUUUUAAAACAAUAUAAUUAACAUCUAAAAGAAAAAAUAUGCAUCCUGGGGUUGGGAAAUCCAGUUCAUAUUAAAAAAAGAAGCCAGGAAAGGAAUUAUUAUUGGACAUCCCUCUCAGGCAAUGGAAAUGAUAGAAAUCUCUCCACGACCUGUCUGCCUCUUUGACCAUAGGUGGCAGUUCCAAUUUUGCUCCCCAAGAAGUUCUUUCCUAUUGUCCAGCUGUUCUCUGCUGGAAUCCUUCUUAUGCAGUUCCACCUGUUGAGCUCUAUUUAUAUCGGAGCCAUCCUGGGACCACAAAGAGAGCUGGGUAGGAGCAGGUGUGGACACAGCAUGGACUCUUUAUUUAGUUCAGCUGAACUUUUUCUGGCCACGGAGGGAAGGAAGAGAGGCUCAGAAGAAAGGGUUCAAUCACCUGGGACUUGCACAGAUUAGCCAUUUCCCCAGCUUCUCCAUUCUGCUUGUCACAGAAGAAGAAGGCACUUGUUGAUGGAGUGCCCUUUGUCAAAGGAAGCUUUCUGAAGCUCAGGCUUCUCCUGAAGUACAUGGUUCAGAUCAGCAGCCUUUUUGAGUGUACUAAUCAAUGAACCCUACAGCAAGCCAAAGAGCCUGGGCACCUGUAGCCAUUUAGCCUUGAACCCAUGUAGUCAGGCUCAUAGCUACCAAAAAACCAAACCCACCAACCCUGGGAAAGUUGAAAACCCUUGAGUAGUUCAGUCAAAGGAAGUUUGGGAGCAGCUGAGUGGCUCAGUGGACAGAGAGCCGGGCCUCAAGACCAGAGGUCCUAGGUUCAAAUCUGACCCGAGACAUUUCUUCAUUUUGUAACUCUGGGUAACUACUUCACCCCCAUUGCCUAGCCCUUACAGCUCUUCUGCUUUAGAAUCAAUAUACAGUAUUGAUUAUAAGAUGGAAGGUUAGGGUUUCAAAAGUAAAAAGUAAGCCCAGUAGCUAUGGCCCCAAACGCAUAAGUUGGAGUUUAAAUAUCAACUAGUUGACAGCUCUCCAAGAGUCUUCCCUCAUCCCAACCAACUUGAAUCAAGACCAUUUCCCAUCACUCCAAUCAAGGUUCCUUGCUCCACAGUGCCUAAUCCUACUGGACCAAGACAAGAACCCUAUAAAAACCCACCAGACCCAUCAGUUUUGGGUGGUCCAUUCCUUUCAUUUUUAUUUAUUUAUUUAUUUGUUUGUUUGUUUUAAACCCUUAAAUCCUGCCUUAGAAUCAAUGCCAUGUAUUGGUUCCAAAGCAGAAAAGUGGUAAGGGAUAGGUAAUGGGGGUCAAGUGACUUACCCAGG